AUAUAUAAUGUUUUAUGGGAGAGUUGAAUGUCAUCUCCAUGUUGCUCAUUGUGAUUUGUGGAACAUACCGGGAGGCGAUUCUGUUUACCCAUGUCGUUUUAACAACACGUGUACCACUUGAAGAUUGAAUGAAAAUUGAUACGAGAUACUUAGACAAUUAUUUUAAUAAAAUUGACGAUAUUCAAUCCGAUGAAAUACGAGCCUUGAGAAAGAAUCACAACCGAUUCGAAACUUUGGCGAUGUAUUAAAAGGAUAAUGAAUAAAAAUUUGUCCAAAUUCCUGC
Coccinella septempunctata (seven-spotted ladybird) is the source of this 283-nucleotide long non-coding RNA. RefSeq lists it as uncharacterized. The transcript has 2 exons. Lineage: Eukaryota; Metazoa; Arthropoda; Insecta; Coleoptera; Coccinellidae. The record is from RefSeq and is a predicted model, not a curated record.